CAGUGGGCAGCUAUACAUGCAGUCGAGCGAGCUGACCAACAGAUUCACUUCGGUGAUGACGUUGGGAACGCGAGCGGCGGAUGGGUGAGUAACACGUGGGGAACCUGCCCCAUAGUCUGGGAUACCACUUGGAAACAGGUGCUAAUACCGGAUAAGAAAGCAGAUCGCAUGAUCAGCUUAUAAAAGGCGGCGUAAGCUGUCGCUAUGGGAUGGCCCCGCGGUGCAUUAGCUAGUUGGUAGGGUAACGGCCUACCAAGGCAAUGAUGCAUAGCCGAGUUGAGAGACUGAUCGGCCACAUUGGGACUGAGACACGGCCCAAACUCCUACGGGAGGCAGCAGUAGGGAAUCUUCCACAAUGGACGAAAGUCUGAUGGAGCAACGCCGCGUGAGUGAAGAAGGUUUUCGGAUCGUAAAGCUCUGUUGUUGGUGAAGAAGGAUAGAGGUAGUAACUGGCCUUUAUUUGACGGUAAUCAACCAGAAAGUCACGGCUAACUACGUGCCAGCAGCCGCGGUAAUACGUAGGUGGCAAGCGUUGUCCGGAUUUAUUGGGCGUAAAGCGAGCGCAGGCGGAAGAAUAAGUCUGAUGUGAAAGCCCUCGGCUUAACCGAGGAACUGCAUCGGAAACUGUUUUUCUUGAGUGCAGAAGAGGAGAGUGGAACUCCAUGUGUAGCGGUGGAAUGCGUAGAUAUAUGGAAGAACACCAGUGGCGAAAGGCGGCUCUCUGGUCUGCAACUGACGCUGAGCUCGAAAGCAUGGGUAGCGAACAGGAUUAGAUACCCUGGUAGUCCAUGCCCGUAACGAUGAGUGCUAGUGUGGGAGGUUUCCGCCUCUCAGUGCUGCAGCUAACGCAUUUAGCCACUCCGCCCUUGGGGGAGUUACGA
Molecule: ribosomal RNA, 881 nt
Filed under: Lactobacillus acidophilus
Lineage: Bacteria; Bacillati; Bacillota; Bacilli; Lactobacillales; Lactobacillaceae
Description: bacterial SSU rRNA
Rfam family: Bacterial small subunit ribosomal RNA
Source: RNAcentral